AGAACAAAUUUUAUUAUUUCUCUCAAGUCAAAGUUUCAAUUGAUAUGAGAUUUUAGACAUAGGCUCUUUAUAUUAUAAGUGAUAUGUAUACAAAAAAUAAGCUUCAAAUUCAUCUUAAAGCUCAAGUUCUAGCUUAAAACCAAAACCCUCUAUUUCUCUAAUUUCUUCAAAAUCCUAGUUUUAGUUUAUUGGUUUUAAUCAGCCAUAUUUCACUCAUUCUAGACUCAAUUCUAUUGAUCCUUGGAUAUAAAAUAUUCAAAUUGAAGUUUAAUUUCUAAUCCGACUCCUUGAUUUCUUGCUAGUAUCUUAAAACU
This 314-nucleotide long non-coding RNA is filed under the name Physcomitrium patens. Its description in RNAcentral is "long non-coding RNA (PPAT_LNC009291)". The record is from RNAcentral. Lineage: Eukaryota; Viridiplantae; Streptophyta; Bryopsida; Funariales; Funariaceae.